RNAcentral lists this ribosomal RNA (282 nucleotides) under Triticum aestivum (bread wheat). RNAcentral describes it as "partial small subunit ribosomal RNA". Lineage: Eukaryota; Viridiplantae; Streptophyta; Magnoliopsida; Poales; Poaceae. The record is from RNAcentral.
AUGAGUAAAGCGCUGAGCCCGCGCUACCAAGGCCUAUCCACAUAUGAAAAGGAGUACCUAGCAGUAAUUGUGACUGUAGACCAAUGGCGACCGUACCUCCAGCAUGAUGAAUUCAUCAUCUCAACAGAUCAACGCAGCCUGGUCCAUCUCAAUGAGCAACGCCUCACUACACCUUGGCAGCAAAAAGCAUUCACAAAACUGUUGGGACUGCAGUUCUCGAUCCGUUAUAAGAAAGGAAGCGACAACAUCGCAGCGGAUGCUCUGUCGCGGGUUUUCCGGUGA